GAUGAACGCUGGCGGCGUGCCUAAUACAUGCAAGUCGAGCGAACAGACGAGGAGCUUGCUCCUCUGACGUUAGCGGCGGACGGGUGGGUAACACGUGGAUAACCUACCUAUAAGACUGGGAUAACUUCGGGAAACCGGAGCUAAUACCGGAUAAUAUAUUGAACCGCAUGGUUCAAUAGUGAAAGACGGUUUUGCUGUCACUUAUAGAUGGAUCCGCGCCGCAUUAGCUAGUUGGUAAGGUAACGGCUUACCAAGGCAACGAUGCGUAGCCGACCUGAGAGGGUGAGCGGCCACACUGGAACGGAGACACGGUCCAGACUCCUACGGGAGGCAGCAGUAGGGAAUCUUCCGCAAUGGGCGAAAGCUGGACGGAGCAACGCCGCGUGAGUGAUGAAGGUCUUCGGAUCGUAAAACUCUGUUAUUAGGGAAGAACAAAUGUGUAAGUAACUAUGCACGUCUUGACGGUACCUAAUCAGAAAGCCGCGGCUAACUACG
This 495-nucleotide ribosomal RNA is filed under the name uncultured bacterium. RNAcentral describes it as "partial 16S ribosomal RNA". It matches the Rfam family "Bacterial small subunit ribosomal RNA", at positions 28 to 505 of the family's 1533-position model. The record is from RNAcentral.